GUGGGGAAUAUUGGACAAUGGGCGAAAGCCUGAUCCAGCCAUGCCGCGUGUGUGAAGACGGUUUUCGGAUUGUAAAGCACUUUAAGUUGGGAGGAAGGGCAGUAAGUUAAUACCUUGCUGUUUUGACGUUACCGACAGAAUAAGCACCGGCUAACUUCGUGCCAGCAGCCGCGGUAAUACGAAGGGUGCAAGCGUUAAUCGGAAUUACUGGGCGUAAAGCGCGCGUAGGUGGUUUUGUAAGUUGGAGGUGAAAUCCCCGGGCUCAACCUGGGAACUGCCUCCAAAACUGCAUGACUAGAGUACGGUAGAGGGUAGUGGAAUUUCCUGUGUAGCGGUGAAAUGCGUAGAUAUAGGAAGGAACACCAGUGGCGAAGGCGACUACCUGGACUGAUACUGACACUGAGGUGUGAAAGCGUGGGGAGCAAACAGGAUUAGAUACCCGGGUAGUCC
Molecule: ribosomal RNA, 450 nt
Filed under: uncultured bacterium
Lineage: Bacteria
Description: bacterial SSU rRNA
Rfam family: Bacterial small subunit ribosomal RNA
Source: RNAcentral